CGUUCUUAUGUUGUACUGUUAUACCACUGUCCCAGGUUAGGGGGAGGGUUGAGAUCCCGCUAACAUGUUUAACCCCGCCACAUUAUUUAUGUAUGUGCCUGACCCAAGUCAGGAGCCUGUAAUUCAGUGGUUGUCGUAUGUUUAUGUGUUACAUAUUUGUUUUUCGUUCAUUUUUUUACAUAAAUAAGGCCGUUAGUUUUCUCGUUUGAAUUGUUUUACAUUGUCUUAUCGGGG
Molecule: long non-coding RNA, 234 nt
Filed under: Mytilus galloprovincialis (Mediterranean mussel)
Lineage: Eukaryota; Metazoa; Mollusca; Bivalvia; Mytilida; Mytilidae
Source: RNAcentral